RNAcentral lists this ribosomal RNA (631 nucleotides) under uncultured bacterium. Its description in RNAcentral is "bacterial SSU rRNA". It matches the Rfam family "Bacterial small subunit ribosomal RNA", at positions 93 to 740 of the family's 1533-position model. The record is from RNAcentral.
GAGUGGCGAACGGGUGAGUAGCACGUGAGCAACCUGCCCCGAAGACUGGGACAACACCGGGAAACCGGUGCUAAUACCGGAUAUCCCUAUCGGACCGCAUGAUCUGAUAAGGAAAUGGAUUCCGCUUCGGGAGGGGCUCGCGGCCUAUCAGCUAGUUGGUGAGGUAACGGCCCACCAAGGCAUCGACGGGUAGCUGGUCUGAGAGGACGAUCAGCCACACUGGGACUGAGACACGGCCCAGACUCCUACGGGAGGCAGCAGUGGGGAAUCUUGCGCAAUGGGCGAAAGCCUGACGCAGCAACGCCGCGUGGAGGACGAAGGCUUUCUGAGUUGUAAACUCCUUUCAGCAGGGACGAUAGUGACGGUACCUGCAGAAGAAGCACCGGCCAACUACGUGCCAGCAGCCGCGGUGAUACGUAGGGUGCAAGCGUUGUCCGGAUUUAUUGGGCGUAAAGAGCUCGUAGGCGGUUUGAUUAGUCGGGUGUGAAACCUCCAGGCUCAACCUGGAGCCGCCACUCGAUACUGUCAUGACUAGAAUUCGGUAGGGGACCACGGAAUUCCUGGUGUAGCGGUGAAAUGCGCAGAUAUCAGGAGGAACACCAGCAGCGAAGGCGGUGGUCUGGGCCGACAU